This 798-nucleotide long non-coding RNA is filed under the name Homo sapiens (human). Its description in RNAcentral is "HSALNT0253512". Lineage: Eukaryota; Metazoa; Chordata; Mammalia; Primates; Hominidae. The record is from RNAcentral.
CAUGUUAUCUUUUAUCUAUUGGACUAAAACUAACAUCACAGAAUGAAAAUGGAGAACUUUGAAUAAUAUGAACAUCUUUGAACUAUUUCUCAAUCAAGUACUUGGAAAAGUAGCGUUUGUCAUAGGGUGCAGCUGGUAAAACCACAGUUCUUCACUGCUGAUGGGAAUGUAAACUAGUGUAAUCACUGUGGAAAACAGUGUGGAGAUCCUUAAGGAACUAAAAGGAGAACUACCAUUUGAUCCAGCAACCCCACUUCCAGGUAUCUGCCCAGAGGAAAAGAAGUCAUUAUAUGAAAAAGAUACUUGCACAGGCAUGUUUAUAGCAGCAAAAUUGACAAUUGCAAAAAUAUGGAACCAGCCCAAAUGCCUAUCAAUCAACCAGUGGUUGAGGAAAUUGUGGUAUAUACAUAUAUAUAUGAUGGAAUACUACUCAGCCAUAACAGGAACAAAUGAAUGCCAUUCGCAGCAACCUGGAUGGAACUGGAGACCAUUAUCCUAAGUGAAGAAACUCAGGCAUGGAAAGUCAAACAUCACAUGUUCUCACUCAUAAGGGGGAGCUAAGCUGUGAAGAUGCAAAGGCAUAUGAUUGAUAUAAUGGACUUUAGGGACUUGGGGAAAAUGGUGGGAGGGGGUGAGGAAUAAAAGGGAUAAAAGACUACAAAUUGGGUUCAGUGUAUAUUGCUCAGAUGAUGGGUGCACCAAAUUCUCACAAAUCACCACUAAAGAACUUUACUCAUGUAACCAAAUACCAACUGUUCCCCAAAAACCUGUGGAAAUAAAAAAUUUUUAAAAAGUGAA